UGCUGUGGACGUUUGGGGCUGCGGUUGGGGGGGGGGCUGCCUCUUCGCCCGCUCUUGGCGGAGCGCUGGCCUGAGGGCUGUCGCACGGGGCUGCGGAGAAGGGAAUUGCCCUGCGCGACCUUUCGCCGCGAGAGGUAAACGCCUGCAUCCUUCUUCUCCGUGCUGGAAGAAUCAACCCUCGUCGUUUGGAGGCUUACCAGAGGUCGCUCCUGGCUGCGCCUAACUUCCGACAACCCGUCUAGGCGCUCCCGGGGGAUCGGCUGGGUGAGGAAGUGCUGCUGGUUUGUAGUAGUUAGCGGUUUUGCCAUCCACCAUGCUACUUGCCAGCCACGAGUAACUGCUGCGCUGUAACAGUUGGACUUUGCUGUACAGUGACAGCAGUACAGACUUUAGGUACGUACCGCACCGCUAGAACAGUUACACCAAGUUAAACACGUGAGCGUGCUCUUUUUUUCUCCACCUCGACAAAACCGCUUUUCUGACUGUGCACUGCCACGUAUUACUUCCAGGUUACAGGCCCUUCUGCUACAGACUUCAGGACUCCUUCCCCUAAGAGCCCUUUGCCAGUGGCUGCACAUGCAGCGUGCAAGGGUGAGAAGGUGAGGACACAAGUCUGAUUAUGAAGGAACUGAGACAAAAUUAUCUUGUUUCUUUUGGUCUUUAGACCAAAACAUAACAUCCAGGAUUGCUGUAUCAGGAGACUGAGUUAAUUUUCUACGAUGCAGUGUUGAAGAGACAAUGAAUUUCUUUGGUAAUGUUAAAUUUCAUUUGCAUUUUUGCUGCCUGCUUUUUUGUUUGUUUGUUUGUUUUGGUUUUUUUCCCUCUCCUUUUUCUCCUGAUUGACUAUACAGCCAUUGUUCAGGGUACCUUGUUACUAGAUACCAUCCACGAGGAAAAUUGAUCAGACUUGGUUGUUCUUGUUCCUCCUAAAAAUCUUCCAAGGCACCAGAUCUUUAUUUAUAUGGACCUGCAGGGAUUAAGCGUUCUAGCAGUCUGCAAUACAAAUCUGAGAGGCUGCGACAAGAAUGAAUCGCAGCUGUUCAAAUUAUUGACCGCUUUGCUGACAGACUGUUUGGUUAAUACAGAGAUCCACAAUGUUCUGGAGAUACAAAUAGUCCUGUUCCUGUAGUCAUUAAAGUUACUCAAUAUUUUUAAUCAAAACCUUUUCUUACUCUUUUUGGUUCUUUCAUGAAGCAACUGGUUUCACUUAAGCUGAGCAUUAUUAAGCCUCACUUUCUUGUAAAGUACUUCAAAAUUGUUAUAUAAAUUGCCUUACACUCUUUAAUUAAAGAGAAGGAUAUGGCUGUUAUAUAAAAAUCUUAUCUCCUAUAUCCUGUCACAAGACUAAACCAGAAGCCCCUAAAAGCAUUUUGUUUGCAGUUACCAUGGUGGAUGGAGCUGAUUUUAAGGAAGAGGUGUUCUUCAAUAUUACCAGUUUGGUCAAGAGACUACUCGGGAAUCUCAGCUUACCCUCCAAGCCAAGGCUGUGAUCUGACUGUACCCCACAGAAGGCCUGCACAGCUCACAGAGGGAAGCUAAACAGCCUACUGAAGACUAGUGGUUCUCAGCCUUUAUUGAUCUACAGAUGCCUGCAUAUUUUCCCUUGGAAAUGUAAACACCUGCCUAAAAUGUAAGCCUCUGGUUUUUCAGUUACCUUACAGACCUCUUAAAUGUUGUCCACGGACCACAAGGUGAAGGUCAGUACUUGAGAGCGAUCAUUAUGCACACCCAGCAGGUAGCCUACAAUUUCAAAGUCUCUCACUUAGUUCCCUUUUUUUGCCAUAAAGGUACACAUUCAACUCUUCUUGGAGGUCCCUGCUCUGUAUUUCCUCUGCAGGAAAGACUAGUUCCCCACCCCCACCCCCCCUCUCACUCCAUUCUCACAAACAUCAGUUGAUCUGGAGCACUUUCCCCACGCGUGGUUAAUCAGCCUUGCAUAUGAAAGACGAUGCCAAAUGCCCCAAACUAUAGCUGCAUCCACAAUCCAAAAACAUAUCCUAAUUCAGCAGCAAAACUAGGCAUAGACUCUAGUUCUUUGGUGUCAUGAUUUCUUGCAGUUUUUUUUUUUUUUUUCCAUUCAUUACAUAGACACUACAUGAAAUCGAAAUGUUUGUUGGACCAAGUCACUACAUCUCUUGAGUACUUUGGUGUUCUACUAUACAGAAACAAGAAACCAUGCACACAAAUUUAAUCUGUUGUACCUGAAAUGACGAUUGGACAGGUACCUAUCAUGUACUUAGCGAAAUGUACAAAAAAAUUUCAUUCUAUGUUCAGAACUGUACUAGUAAACUUGGGCAGCUUUCGGGUACAUUACCUGCAAAAUCCUAGACAAGAUAUAUAUCCUUUUGUUGAUAUAAAGAUGAUAAAAUAAUUGAUAAAAAUAUAGAAGACAAGCAGAAUCUCCUAGUUAUAUUCUAUAUUAUGAAGAAAAUUGGAUGAUGUAGACAAAUCUAUGAAGUAAUGAAUUAUUACCUAUUGCCAAUGAUAUCUAUGAAGACGUUUAGUUCCACCCAUAAAACAUCCUAGAAUUUGCAUAGCUAUAAACUCACAAUCAAGAAUUUUGAAAGAAUCAUCUGGCAAGCAAAUGGAAACAAUGGCCUUUCCUUUCAAAACAACUUUGGAGUUUGAGUGUGUUCCAGAAAGCCAGUAAAUACUUUCAUUUUAAAAGCAUUUGAAAAAUAAGAGGGAUCAUCUAGGUAGCUUAGAAGCCAGUUGACCUAAUGCUGACUUGGCAAAAUCAAAGCGUAAUCUAUUUGGGUUACACUCAGCUAAGAAAGGAAACAUAAUAGUAUUUGAUUUAAUUGAAUGAAAAAGAUCUCAUUAAAAGAAUUACGUGUUCUUUUGUGGCAAUGUAAGUUUGGUACUUCAAGAUGGUCCAGGACUAAUAUAGCAAGACUUGCAUCUAAGUACAACACAGCCUGGUCCUUUUGUAAAGGAAAAGAAAGGCAAUAGCUAAGUGCUACAGGAGGGAGCCAAGCCUUACUGGGAGACACCUACACCAGCUCAAUUAAAUUCAGUUGUUUGGAAAGAUGAAUACAGCAGCUCGAUCACGGGCAUGUAACUCAUUAGAAAAGAUUUUUGAUAGCAGAAGACUUUAAUGUACUGAAGAAAGGCGUAAUAAGACCUUAUGAGAAGGAAAAGAAAAUAAAAAAAGAAGAGAAUGGCAGUUUCAAUGGCAGUGAAAACCAGCAAAAUAAGCGACAUGGUUGAUCAACCAUAGGGCUUUAAAUUGUGCAAGUUUAAAAUCUUUCUUGAAGAUUUAACUGAAUUAUAGACCAGCAAUGCUAUCAUUAGUCAUGGCUGAGAUUCCAUUGCCAUGUUGUGGGUGACUUUUCUAAAUGAUUUCCAGCCUACAUGAUGUUUCCUUUUAAAGCAAUGAGAAUUUGCAAAAUCCAGCUAAGAAGUGACAACCGAUUCAGGAAAGGACAAGGAGUGCUGCCACAUUCCAGCAAAGACUCAAGAUGCAAACUAACACAGAACUCCAGAAUCAAUACCAAGUCUUCUUCAGUAUACACAUAUGGGAACAAAUGGAUUGGCAUUAUGAAGAAAAUGCGGAGUUAAAGAUUUCAGGAAGCUGAAGAGGAAGGACCACAGGAUCUUAUUGGAGAAUAUCCCAUUCCUGCAUGUGGAAUUUAAAUAUUUGAACUGCUGUCAGCUUGAGAAUACAAAUCUGACAAAGUCACACUCUGAAACUUGAGGCUCCUUCUCCAUAGCAGAAAACUGUGUAUGGAUGUUAUGCUUUGCAUCCUGCAUGUAGCUACUAUACUGUUUCGGUUACCCUGAGGCACUCUGAAUGUCUUAAACAGCCUCAGAAAUUCAAAGAGAAAGACCUGAUAAAAACUCAACUAGGUGACAAUGAGAAUGAAGUAUUUUUCAUUGUUUCUACCCAGAUUUCUGUUGCUGGUGUAAACAGAAAUAAGAAAUUCAACUGAUUGGGGGGGAAAAAAAGUCCAGGAAUAAAGUGGCACUUCUGAAACUCAAUGGGAAAGCAUCGUAAUAAAAGCCAGUUUCCUCCUGUGUGAUAGUAAAAGUUACAGAAACAGCAGCAAACUGCACAAACAUAAGCAGUACCUUUGAAAUUACCAGUAACAAAAGAAUUGUACAGCCUUAAAUACACAGACAUCCCUGUGCUUGGUAAUAGAUUCCAAGAAGGAAGGAUAGAAGACAUAAGAAAACAAUGCACCAAACAAGGGAAGGUGAUCUCAAGCACCUUUAACACAAAACAAACAAAACAACAACAAACCUCACAACACUGCAAGAAAUGUUUUAACUUGCAAGACAUUCCCCAGGGUAUUCAAGCAGUCAGCCAAAUAUCCUUCCCAUUUUCAAAAUUAAUUUCCUUAAAACUAGACGCUGCACCCAAAACAAGCCUAUUUCUCAGAGUUCAACACGAUGCAUACAAGACAUGGCAAUGUGAGUGCAAACUGGCAGUUUUAUAUGUUCGUAUUGAACAUGGGCGUGUGGAGGAGAGCUACAAGCAGUAAUAAACCUAUGCAUAGUCUGUGCUUCACAAAGCAAAUUCCAAGGUGAA
Centrocercus urophasianus (Greater sage-grouse) is the source of this 4531-nucleotide long non-coding RNA. RefSeq lists it as uncharacterized. Lineage: Eukaryota; Metazoa; Chordata; Aves; Galliformes; Phasianidae. The record is from RefSeq and is a predicted model, not a curated record. The transcript has 2 exons.